GUCUGGCUGGCUCAGUCUGUAGAGCACAUGACUCUUGAUCUUGGGGUCAUGAGUUCAAGCCCCAUGUCAGGUG
This 73-nucleotide transfer RNA is filed under the name Ailuropoda melanoleuca (giant panda). It matches the Rfam family "tRNA". From Rfam's summary of the family: Transfer RNA (tRNA) molecules are approximately 80 nucleotides in length. Their secondary structure includes four short double-helical elements and three loops (D, anti-codon, and T loops). The record is from Rfam by way of RNAcentral. Lineage: Eukaryota; Metazoa; Chordata; Mammalia; Carnivora; Ursidae.